UACGGAGGGUGCAAGCGUUAUCCGGAUUCACUGGGUUUAAAGGGUGCGUAGGGGGGCAGGUAAGUCAGUGGUGAAAUCCCCGAGCUUAACUUGGGAACUGCCGUUGAUACUAUCUGUCUUGAAUAUUGUGGAGGUGAGCGGAAUAUGUCAUGUAGCGGUGAAAUGCUUAGAUAUGACAUAGAACACCAAUUGCGAAGGCAGCUCGCUACACAUAUAUUGACUCUGAGGCACGAAAGCGUGGGGAUCAAACAGG
This 253-nucleotide ribosomal RNA is filed under the name uncultured bacterium. RNAcentral describes it as "partial 16S ribosomal RNA". It matches the Rfam family "Bacterial small subunit ribosomal RNA", at positions 524 to 776 of the family's 1533-position model. The record is from RNAcentral.